RNAcentral lists this ribosomal RNA (498 nucleotides) under uncultured bacterium. Its description in RNAcentral is "partial 16S ribosomal RNA". It matches the Rfam family "Bacterial small subunit ribosomal RNA", at positions 30 to 523 of the family's 1533-position model. The record is from RNAcentral.
AUUGAACGCUGGCGGCAUGCUUUACACAUGCAAGUCGAACGGUAACAGGCCGCUAGGUGCUGACGAGUGGCGAACGGGUGAGUAAUGCAUCGGAACGUGCCCAGUCGUGGGGGAUAACGCAGCGAAAGCUGUGCUAAUACCGCAUACGAUCUAUGGAUGAAAGCGGGGGACCGUAAGGCCUCGCGCGAUUGUAGCGGCCGAUGUCAGAUUAGGUAGUUGGUGGGGUAAAGGCUCACCAAGCCAACGAUCUGUAGCUGGUCUGAGAGGACGACCAGCCACACUGGGACUGAGACACGGCCCAGACUCCUACGGGAGGCAGCAGUGGGGAAUUUUGGACAAUGGGCGCAAGCCUGAUCCAGCAAUGCCGCGUGCAGGAAGAAGGCCUUCGGGUUGUAAACUGCUUUUGUACGGAACGAAAAGGUUUGGGUUAAUACCCUGGGCCGAUGACGGUACCGUAAGAAUAAGCACCGGCUAACUACGUGCCAGCCGCCGCAGUAA